This is a long non-coding RNA of Hypanus sabinus (Atlantic stingray), 1067 nucleotides long. RefSeq lists it as uncharacterized. The record is from RefSeq and is a predicted model, not a curated record. Lineage: Eukaryota; Metazoa; Chordata; Chondrichthyes; Myliobatiformes; Dasyatidae. The transcript is spliced from 3 exons.
UGGCGGAGAUCAGCGAGUCGCUUCUGUCGGUGUCGCCGGCCUCGGCGCCCACAAGGACGGGUGUGAUUCCCCUUCGCGCCUCGGUGGGUCUGUUUCGGUGGCGUCUGUGGUGGCUGACGAAACAUGCUUUGACAGGGAGCGAGCGAGGACCAAUGACUACAACUCCCAGAAGGCCCCACUGAUGACGUUGUGGUGUUUCAGGCUUUCCCACCACAGAUGUAAGGCUCAAUGGUCUAUAAUUAUUGGGACUAUCCCUACUACCCUUUUUGAACAAGGGGACAACAUUCGCCUCCCUCCAAUACUCCGGUACAAUUUCCGUGGACAAUGAGGACAUAAUGAUCUUCGCCAGAGGCUCAGCAAUCUGUUUCCUUGCCUCGGAUGCAGAACUGGGAAGCGCAGAUGGAGUUCAACACAGAUGAAGAGGUUCAUUUCUGCAGGUCAAAUUUGAACAAGGAAUAUAAUAUUAAUGUACCACCAGACUCCAACGGAUUCUUCUAUCUUUGCUGGUCAGACACCCAGUUACGGGGAACGUAACACAACCAGUACACCUUUGGACUGUGGGAGGAGAUGGGAGCAUCCGGAGGAACCCACACGGACACAGGGAGAAUGUGCAAACCCAUUAAAGGCAGCGUCCUAUCUGAAACCCUGUACUGUUUGGACCCGGUACUGUAAAGCAUUGUCACCACUACGCUACCGUGCUGUCUUGUAAACCGGAGUACGGUCGAAUGACAAUUACACUUCAGGAUGAACUUGAGGAUCAUCGACUGUAGCCGCCAUCACUCGGAAAGGGGGGUACUUCCACUGUGUCUCUUUCUGCCCCUGAAUCACUCCGUUUGCUCACACUCACGUCCCAGUGGCGUUUUGUACCGGUCUGUAAAAUCGGAAAACAUUCUUCUAAACAACACGAAGAAUCUGGAGCUAAUUGUUCCAGUUGUUUUUCUAUGUAAAGAAUGAAUCUCUGUUGGAGCGUGUUUAAUGCACUGUUCACUUGCUGAGACAGGGGGUCCUGAAACAAAAUUAAUAUUAAGAUUCCGCCUCACCAGCACCCGAUCCAAUUGUAUUUCUAA